Molecule: RNA transcript, 1576 nt
Organism: Nicrophorus vespilloides
Lineage: Eukaryota; Metazoa; Arthropoda; Insecta; Coleoptera; Silphidae
Gene: Mvb12
Gene name: multivesicular body subunit 12A
Exons: 7
Source: RefSeq, a predicted model, not a curated record
GGUGGUGGCGAUGUAUGAGGAGAAUGCAUUUUGAUCAUCAACAAGGCUGUGAGUGUCAGUUUGCGAUCAUGUGAGUGAAUUUGUAGUGAGUACGACGAGGACGACGACGACCAAUCACUGCCAACUGCGAACAGGAUGUCCAAAAGGAAGAGUAAUAACAUUUUCCUCUUCGAUUCGUUAUCAAAGACGCUGCCGGACGACAGACCAAUCACUUCGCUUCAGAUAAUCGAGAAUUUGGAGAGGUGUCCACCCGGAUUUUACGCCAUCAGCAAGACCCACGACCAGGACCAGGAUGCUGAUCUCUGGCGAGAGGGAAGUUCUUUCCUAAAGAAAAAGUCCAUCCGAUACCUCUGCAUAUCAAAAACAGAAGGAUUACCCGACUUCGUAUUAAAGGAGCUGAGUAUUUUGAAUGAAAAGUCUGUUCCAUCGGAAGGCUACAGUUUGCUCAAUAGGACAGCGGACAGUGAGCAGAAGGCCUGGCGCAAGAAGCAGCUCUGCUACAAGUUGGUGCCCAAGUAUAACACUCAACUUGCCAUCACCGAUAUUAUCGUGUGCAGUAGACUGAAGAAGGCACCUGACGGAUUCGUGCAAGCAGGAGAUUUGAACGGUUUACUGAUCUGCUACAAAAUGGGCAACAUCCAGACGUCGAACCCCUCUCCCAGUCAGUCGAACGGCGUGAUCGGUCACCAGAAGCGAGGUGGUGCUGCGCCUCCACCUCCUCUACCACCCAAAGGCACUUCGAUGUACCCGGAUUUGAGCGACGGCGACGGCGAUUACGAGAUCCUCAAUCCGAUCCAGACACCCUCGAGACCCGCCCCGUUGCCGCCCAGCCAAUAUCCGCUCAGUCCUCCCCUCCACGUCCAGAACCAUCCAGCUGCUCACAAUACGAUUGGCUCGACGUCCAAUUAUGCCGGCCUCGAGGGCGUUCCCUUUGCGCUCAAUCCAAAAUUCGGCAACGGCAGUGCCGACAAGAUUCAACUCCCUAUUGUAAAAUCGAGGAAAAUGUCCGAAUUGAUGAGGGAUUACAAUUACGAUUUCCGACUCGAACGGACGAACGUGAAUUGAUUCAUAUCAAUUGCUGUAUAUUCUCCACGUAUAUUAUUUUAUUUCUUUUACUACGGAACUACGUUUUGCAUGAAGUGUAAAGAGAGAGAGAGAACUUAAGCAAUUUGCAACAAGUUUUGUUGGUAUAUUCGGGCACGCAUUUAGCAGUUAUCCGUUGAAUGAUUUCCAACUCUCAGGUUCGUCUCCCAACGAUCGUUUUCAUCUUCAAUAUACUUUAAGGAGCAAGUGCUUACGAAAAUGCAGGCCAUUUUCGAAGGCUAUCUAAUACCAAAGUUUGAUAAUCAAUUGUGACGAAACUAUGUUAGCUACAGACAUGUAUUUACACUCAUUUCAAUCUCUCUAUAAUCAAGAUCAACAUUAAGUCCUUACACUCUUUUGAGAGUGAAUGUAUACGAAAAUACAGACCAUUUUCGAAGACGCUAUUUUCCCCCAACUAAUUUGUAAAAUACCAAAGUUUGUUAAUCAAUUAUGGGGAUACCAUUGCAGCUACAAAUUAACAUUUGCCCUCAUU